UACGGGGGGGGCAAGCGUUGUUCGGAAUUACUGGGCGUAAAGGGCUCGUAGGCGGCCAACUAAGUCAGACGUGAAAUCCCUCGGCUUAACCGGGGAACUGCGUCUGAUACUGGAUGGCUUGAGUUUGGGAGAGGGAUGCGGAAUUCCAGGUGUAGCGGUGAAAUCUGUAGAUAUCGAGAGGAACACCGGUGGCGAAGGCGGCUUCCUGGCCCGUACCUGACGCUGAGGCGCGAAAGCGUGGGGAGCAAACAGG
Molecule: ribosomal RNA, 253 nt
Filed under: uncultured bacterium
Lineage: Bacteria
Description: partial 16S ribosomal RNA
Rfam family: Bacterial small subunit ribosomal RNA
Source: RNAcentral